Molecule: small nucleolar RNA, 132 nt
Organism: Castor canadensis (American beaver)
Lineage: Eukaryota; Metazoa; Chordata; Mammalia; Rodentia; Castoridae
Source: Ensembl
GGCAUCUUGGUGCUUAGCACAGGCUGUGUUCUUACAUUGACUGUAUUCAAAGAGAAGGCAAAGUAAACCUACCCCAUAUACACCUCAGCCCAGGCCCUGUGCCGAGUCUGUGUUGUGAAUGGGGAGACAUGG